This 253-nucleotide ribosomal RNA is filed under the name uncultured bacterium. RNAcentral describes it as "partial 16S ribosomal RNA". It matches the Rfam family "Bacterial small subunit ribosomal RNA", at positions 524 to 776 of the family's 1533-position model. The record is from RNAcentral.
UACAGAGAGUGCAAGCGUUAAUCGGAAUUACUGGGCGUAAAGCGCGCGUAGGUGGAUACUUAAGUCGGAUGUGAAAUCCCUGGGCUUAACCUAGGAAUUGCAUUUGAUACUGGGUAUCUCGAGUAUGGUAGAGGGAAGUGGAAUUUCCGGUGUAGCGGUGAAAUGCGUAGAUAUCGGAAAGAACACCAGCGGCGAAGGCGGCUUUCUGGUCCGAUACUGACGCUGAGGUGCGAAAGCGUGGGGAGCGAUCCGG